GACGAACGCUGGCGGCAUGCCUAAUACAUGCAAGUCGAGCGAACAGAUGAAGUGCUUGCACUUCUGACGUUAGCGGCGAACGGGUGAGUAACACGUAAGGAAUCUACCUAUAAGCGGGGGAUAACAUUCGGAAACGGGUGCUAAUACCGCAUAAUAUCUUCUUCCGCAUGGAAGAAGGUUGAAAGACGGCUCUGCUGUCACUUAUAGAUGACCUUGCGGUGCAUUAGUUAGUUGGUGGGGUAACGGCCUACCAAGACGAUGAUGCAUAGCCGACCUAGGAGGGUGAUCGGCCACCUUUGGACAGAGACACGGCCCAAACUCCUACGGGAGGCAGCAGUAGGGAAUCUUCCGCAAUGGGCGAAAGCCUGACGGAGCAAUGCCGCGUGAGUGAAGAAGGCCUUCGGGUCGUAAAACUCUGUUAUAAGAGAAGAACAAAUUGUAGAGUAACUGCUACAGUCUUGACGGUAUCUUAUCAGAAAGCCACGGCUAACUACGUGCCAGCCGCCGCAGUAA
RNAcentral lists this ribosomal RNA (513 nucleotides) under uncultured bacterium. RNAcentral describes it as "partial 16S ribosomal RNA". It matches the Rfam family "Bacterial small subunit ribosomal RNA", at positions 28 to 523 of the family's 1533-position model. The record is from RNAcentral.